CCUACGGGCGGCAGCAGUGAGGAAUAUUGGUCAAUGGACGAGAGUCUGAACCAGCCAAGUAGCGUGAAGGAUGACUGCCCUAUGGGUUGUAAACUUCUUUUAUAUGGGAAUAAAAUGUUCCACGUGUGGGAUUUUGUAUGUACCAUAUGAAUAAGGAUCGGCUAACUCCGUGCCAGCAGCCGCGGUAAUACGGAGGAUCCGAGCGUUAUCCGGAUUUAUUGGGUUUAAAGGGAGCGUAGGUGGACUGUUAAGUCAGUUGUGAAAGUUUGCGGCUCAACCGUAAAAUUGCAGUUGAAACUGGCAGUCUUGAGUACAGUAGAGGUGGGCGGAAUUCGUGGUGUAGCGGUGAAAUGCUUAGAUAUCACGAAGAACUCCGAUUGCGAAGGCAGUUCACUGGACUGCAACUGACACUGAGGCUCGAAAGUGUGGGUAUCAAACAGGAUUAGAUACCCGUGUAGUC
RNAcentral lists this ribosomal RNA (460 nucleotides) under uncultured bacterium. RNAcentral describes it as "partial 16S ribosomal RNA". It matches the Rfam family "Bacterial small subunit ribosomal RNA", at positions 338 to 795 of the family's 1533-position model. The record is from RNAcentral.